Molecule: long non-coding RNA, 656 nt
Filed under: Carica papaya (papaya)
Lineage: Eukaryota; Viridiplantae; Streptophyta; Magnoliopsida; Brassicales; Caricaceae
Description: long non-coding RNA (CPAP_LNC007977)
Source: RNAcentral
AAUGAUUUCAGUGGCUAUAUAUAUAUGUAUAGAUGAAGAUAUAUCUUCACAAGGCGGUAUGGGUUCUGCAAUGAAGAAGAGAUCAUGGUGGCCUGUGUGCUUUCUUGCAUUAUUCAUUAUGCUAGUUUUUGCAUGGAUCCUCAGAGGUACGUAUAUUAAUAAAACUAAUAUUCCGUCCCUUAGCACUAAAAGAUAAUUUUUUAAAAAAAUCAAAAUUCAAAUCUUUAUAUGUGUUUGUAAAUGAAUAUAGAAUAUACUGUAGGUGAUUUUGGUUGUAUAUAUGAACUCUGUGAGCAUAAAUUUUUUAUUAUGGUGUGUAAGCAUUUUCCAUCAAUAAAUUACUUUUUUACUUUUUUCAAUAUAUAUAUAUAUAUCUAUAUAUAUAUACAUAUUGUAGGUGAUGAGAUGAAGUUGAUGGAUGGAGAAAUUGGCGCAGCAUCAAGAUCAGUGAAACACACAAUCAGGAAACUGAUGGACAUACCAAAACCUCGAAGGAUCGAUUUCAGACCUCCGCCACCAGCUCCAUGGCGUCCGGAGCCACCAAGGCCUGUGGGCAUAAAUGUUUGAUUGUGGUGUAUAAGCUUUUUCUAUCAAUAAAUUAUUUUUUAUUUUCCAUCAAAUAAAUUGUUAUUAAUUAUAAAAUAAAAACAAAAAUU